AGUGAACGCUGGCGGUAGGCCUAACACAUGCAAGUCGAACGGCAGCACAGGAGAGCUUGCUCUCUGGGUGGCGAGUGGCGGACGGGUGAGGAAUACAUCGGAAUCUACCUAGUCGUGGGGGAUAACGUAGGGAAACUUACGCUAAUACCGCAUACGACCUUCGGGUGAAAGUGGGGGACCUUCGGGCCUCACGCGAUUAGAUGAGCCGAUGUCGGAUUAGCUAGUUGGAGGGGUAAUGGCCCACCAAGGCGACGAUCCGUAGCUGGUCUGAGAGGAUGAUCAGCCACACUGGAACUGAGACACGGUCCAGACUCCUACGGGAGGCAGCAGUGGGGAAUAUUGGACAAUGGGCGCAAGCCUGAUCCAGCCAUACCGCGUGGGUGAAGAAGGCCUUCGGGUUGUAAAGCCCUUUUGUUGGGAAAGAAAUCCUGUCGGUUAAUAACCGGUAGGGAUGACGGACCCAAAGAAUAAGC
RNAcentral lists this ribosomal RNA (473 nucleotides) under Stenotrophomonas sp. MIXRI12. RNAcentral's name for it is "bacterial SSU rRNA". It matches the Rfam family "Bacterial small subunit ribosomal RNA", at positions 29 to 491 of the family's 1533-position model. The record is from RNAcentral. Lineage: Bacteria; Pseudomonadati; Pseudomonadota; Gammaproteobacteria; Lysobacterales; Lysobacteraceae.